UACGGAGGAUGCGAGCGUUAUCCGGAUUUAUUGGGUUUAAAGGGUGCGUAGGCGGGCUUUUAAGUCAGCGGUAAAAAUUCGGGGCUCAACCCCGUCCGGCCGUUGAAACUGGGGGUCUUGAGUGGGCGGGAAGAAGGCGGAAUGCGUGGUGUAGCGGUGAAAUGCAUAGAUAUCACGCAGAACCCCGAUUGCGAAGGCAGCCUUCCGGCGCCCUACUGACGCUGAGGCACGAAAGUGCGGGGAUCGAACAGG
Molecule: ribosomal RNA, 252 nt
Filed under: uncultured bacterium
Lineage: Bacteria
Description: partial 16S ribosomal RNA
Rfam family: Bacterial small subunit ribosomal RNA
Source: RNAcentral